RNAcentral lists this transfer RNA (84 nucleotides) under Ipomoea nil (Japanese morning glory). It matches the Rfam family "tRNA". Rfam says of the family: Transfer RNA (tRNA) molecules are approximately 80 nucleotides in length. Their secondary structure includes four short double-helical elements and three loops (D, anti-codon, and T loops). Further hydrogen bonds mediate the characteristic L-shaped molecular structure. tRNAs have two regions of fundamental functional importance: the anti-codon, which is responsible for specific mRNA codon recognition, and the 3' end, to which the tRNAs corresponding amino acid is attached (by aminoacyl-tRNA synthetases). tRNAs cope with the degeneracy of the genetic code in two manners: having more than one tRNA (with a specific anti-codon) for a particular amino acid; and 'wobble' base-pairing, i.e. permitting non-standard base-pairing at the 3rd anti-codon position. The record is from Rfam by way of RNAcentral. Lineage: Eukaryota; Viridiplantae; Streptophyta; Magnoliopsida; Solanales; Convolvulaceae.
GUUAGGAUGGUCGAGUGGUUUAAGGUGCCAGACUAAAGUUUUGGAUCUUGUGAGAGAGCGUGGGUUCAAAUCCCACUUCUCACA